This 435-nucleotide ribosomal RNA is filed under the name uncultured bacterium. RNAcentral's name for it is "partial 16S ribosomal RNA". It matches the Rfam family "Bacterial small subunit ribosomal RNA", at positions 29 to 507 of the family's 1533-position model. The record is from RNAcentral.
AACGAACGCUGGCGGCAUGCCUAACACAUGCAAGUCGAACGAUUGCCUUCGGGUGAUAGUGGCGCACGGGUGCGUAACGCGUGGGAAUCUGCCCUUAGGUUCGGAAUAACAGCUGGAAACGGCUGCUAAUACCGGAUGAUAUCGCGAGAUCAAAGAUUUAUCGCCUGAGGAUGAGCCCGCGUUGGAUUAGGUAGUUGGUGGGGUAAAGGCCUACCAAGCCGACGAUCCAUAGCUGGUCUGAGAGGAUGAUCAGCCACACUGGGACUGAGACACGGCCCAGACUCCUACGGGAGGCAGCAGUGGGGAAUAUUGGACAAUGGGCGCAAGCCUGAUCCAGCAAUGCCGCGUGAGUGAUGAAGGCCCUAGGGUUGCAAAGCUCUUUUACCCGGGAAGAUAAUGACUGUACCGGGAGAAUAAGCCCCGGCUAACUCCGUG